RNAcentral lists this ribosomal RNA (1438 nucleotides) under endophytic bacterium CTC17. RNAcentral describes it as "bacterial SSU rRNA". It matches the Rfam family "Bacterial small subunit ribosomal RNA". The record is from RNAcentral.
AUGCAAGUCGAACGAUGAUGCCCAGCUUGCUGGGUGGAUUAGUGGCGAACGGGUGAGUAACACGUGAGUAACCUGCCCCUGACUCUGGGAUAAGCGUUGGAAACGACGUCUAAUACUGGAUAUGAUCACUGGCCGCAUGGUCUGGUGGUGGAAAGAUUUUUUGGUUGGGGAUGGACUCGCGGCCUAUCAGCUUGUUGGUGAGGUAAUGGCUCACCAAGGCGACGACGGGUAGCCGGCCUGAGAGGGUGACCGGCCACACUGGGACUGAGACACGGCCCAGACUCCUACGGGAGGCAGCAGUGGGGAAUAUUGCACAAUGGGCGAAAGCCUGAUGCAGCAACGCCGCGUGAGGGAUGACGGCCUUCGGGUUGUAAACCUCUUUUAGUAGGGAAGAAGCGAGAGUGACGGUACCUGCAGAAAAAGCACCGGCUAACUACGUGCCAGCAGCCGCGGUAAUACGUAGGGUGCAAGCGUUGUCCGGAAUUAUUGGGCNGUNAAAGAAGGCUCGUNAGGGCGGUUUGUCGCGUCUGCUGUGAAAUCCCGAGGCUCAACCUCGGGCUUGCAGUGGGUACGGGCAGACUAGAGUGCGGUAGGGGAGAUUGGAAUUCCUGGUGUAGCGGUGGAAUGCGCAGAUAUCAGGAGGAACACCGAUGGCGAAGGCAGAUCUCUGGGCCGUAACUGACGCUGAGGAGCGAAAGCAUGGGGAGCGAACAGGAUUAGAUACCCUGGUAGUCCAUGCCGUAAACGUUGGGCGCUAGAUGUAGGGACCUUUCCACGGUUUCUGUGUCGUAGCUAACGCAUUAAGCGCCCCGCCUGGGGAGUACGGCCGCAAGGCUAAAACUCAAAGGAAUUUGACGGGGGCCCGCACAAGCGGCCGGAGCAUGCGGAUUAAUUUCGAUGCAACGCGAAGAACCUUACCAAGGCUUGACAUACACCGGAAACGGUCCCAGNANGAGAUGUGUCGCCCCCUUGUGGUCGGUGUACAGGUGGUGCAUGGUUGUCGUCAGCUCGUGUCGUGAGAUGUUGGGUUAAGUCCCGCAACGAGCGCAACCCUCGUUCUAUGUUGCCAGCGGGUUAUGCCGGGGACUCAUAGGAGACUGCCGGGGUCAACUCGGAGGAAGGUGGGGAUGACGUCAAAUCAUCAUGCCCCUUAUGUCUUGGGCUUCACGCAUGCUACAAUGGCCGGUACAAAGGGCUGCGAUACCGUAAGGUGGAGCGAAUCCCAAAAAGCCGGUCUCAGUUCGGAUUGAGGUCUGCAACUCGACCUCAUGAAGUCGGAGUCGCUAGUAAUCGCAGAUCAGCAACGCUGCGGUGAAUACGUUCCCGGGCCUUGUACACACCGCCCGUCAAGUCAUGAAAGUCGGUAACACCCGAAGCCGGUGGCCUAACCCUUGUGGAAGGAGCCGUCGAAGGUGGGAUCGGUGAUUAGGACUAAGUC